UCCGUGCUGGUGUGCCUAAUACAUGCAGUCGUACGGUCAUGCAGUUGUAGCAAUAUGAUUGCAUGAUAGUGGCGAACGGGUGAGUAACACGUGGAUAACCUACCUUCGAGUGGGGGAUAACUCCGGGAAACUGGGGCUAAUACCGCAUGACAUCCCAGCCCGACAUCGGGAGGGGAUCAACGACGCAAGUCGCUUGAAGAUGGAUCCGCGUCCUAUCAGCUAGUUGGCGGGGUAACGGCCCACCAAGGCGACGACGGGUAGCCGGCCUGAGAGGGCGAUCGGCCACAAGGGGACUGAGACACGGCCCCUACUCCUACGGGAGGCAGCAGUAGGGAAUUUUGCUCAAUGGGCGCAAGCCUGAAGCAGCGACGCCGCGUGGGUGAUGAAAUCUUUCGGGAUGUAAAACCCUUUUCACCGGGACGAAAGAAAGAUGACGGUACCGGUGGAAUAAGCCUCGGCUAACUCCGUGCCAGCAGCCGCGGUAAGACGGGGGAGGCAAGCGUUGUCCGGAAUCACUGGGUGUAAAGGGCGUGUAGGCGGGUCGGAAAGUCGAUUGUAAAAUAUCUCCGCUCAACGGAGAAACCGCAGUCGAUACUUCCGGUCUUGAGUGCGGCAGGGGAGGAUGGAAUUCCUGGUGUAGCGGUGAAAUGCGUAGAUAUCAGGAGGAACACCGGUGGCGAAGGCGGUCCCUCUGGGCCUGCACUGACGCUGAGGGCGCGAAAGCUGGGGGAGCAAACAGAAUUAGAUACUCUGGUAGUCCCAGCCCUAAACGAUGGGUACUAGGUGUUCGUCCCUUUCAAGGGAUGAGUGCCGCAGCUAACGCAUUAAGUACCCCACCUGGGGAGUACGAUCGCAAGGUUG
Molecule: ribosomal RNA, 861 nt
Filed under: uncultured bacterium
Lineage: Bacteria
Description: bacterial SSU rRNA
Rfam family: Bacterial small subunit ribosomal RNA
Source: RNAcentral